AAAGGCCCAAUUUGCCCGGGCCCAAAAACACAAACAAAAAAUAAAUCAAAUAUAAAAACAAAUAAAAUUAAAAUGCCAUUAUUGAACAGUCCAGUUUUUUUUUACAAACCAAGUUAAAUUAAGCCCAAACCCAAUUACAAAAUCCAAAUACCCAAUGAACCCCAACACCAACCCGUUAACCCAAAUUAACAGCCCAAAAUCAAAACCCAACCUAGCCCCAGACUUUCCCAGACACCAGAAACCCUAGGUAGCAACAAUCGGCCUAAGCCACCGCAGCAGCCUCGCAACGCACCGCCUUCAGCUUUCCUCUCUACGCGCGCCACGCCACCACCUCCGUACUCCAGUACCU
This 349-nucleotide long non-coding RNA is filed under the name Gossypium raimondii (Peruvian cotton). RNAcentral describes it as "long non-coding RNA (GRAI_LNC006337)". The record is from RNAcentral. Lineage: Eukaryota; Viridiplantae; Streptophyta; Magnoliopsida; Malvales; Malvaceae.